This 1340-nucleotide long non-coding RNA is filed under the name Salvia miltiorrhiza (redroot sage). RNAcentral's name for it is "long non-coding RNA (SMIL_LNC006129)". Lineage: Eukaryota; Viridiplantae; Streptophyta; Magnoliopsida; Lamiales; Lamiaceae. The record is from RNAcentral.
ACCCUCAACUUCAAUAUCCCCAUCCUUUGGCUUCAUUAUGUUGUUCAACAUCAUCCAUCAACUGUUCUUCACCAUCAAUCCUUCCCAUAAGAAAAAAUUAAAAGAAUUCAAUAUCUUUUUUUUUUUCAAUUGGAAAUCUGCAAGCCUUGGCUAAUAUAGAGUAAUACAAAUUCUUAGACUAGUUGAUAAUUGAAAAUCUGAAUAUCUUUAGAAGAUAGCACAAAUUCAAUCAAAACAAUCAAGCCACAAAUAAGUAUCCUUGCACAAACUUUAAAAAGUCCAUGGAAUUUAAAUUCCAUGGAAUUGACAUAGAUUCCAGACGACUUUCAAAGAAUUCGUGAUUGGAUUUCACCCUGAUUUUCACUGAUUUUCAAAGAAUUCGUGAUUGGUUCCAAUCGUAUUUGUUUACUUUAAUCUCUAAUUUAUUUCGAGCUCAAAUGGACUGUGAAGUUAGUGGCACAUUGAUUGUAUGCUCGUUAUGUGUGAUUUUAGGGAUUCGGGGUUCGGUUAUAAGAGAUAAUACGAGAGCAGUUAUCGAGUUGAGUCGAAAUAUACAGAAGCUUCUGAGAAGCAUUGACUUCAUUUCUUUGGAAGCCUUUGUAGUUUUUAUUCCUUCAGAAUUUAGAUGGCAGACUUUCCACGUUAUAUCUUUGUAUUCGUUUUCUUUUUUNCUCUAUCAUCACAUGCUUUCAUAUUAACAGAAUUUCAUGAAAAUAAUUAUCAAAAAAAUUAGGCCCAACUAGUCAACCCUGCACUUUCCCUCCUCGAAAGCAUCAAAAAAAAAAAAUACAAAACAGAACAGAACGAGGCAGAAAAAGACAUAAGCAUGUAGCUGGCAGAGAUAUGAAAUUGGGAUAUUAAGUUAGCAAACGCAUCUCUGUAGCAUUCAUGUUGAAGAGGGAGCUGUUGACUUCUUCUUACAGAGAGAGAAUGGAGAAGAAGCUGUCAGAGGCAGCCUUACAAGGAGACGCAACGACGCUAGAGCAAAUCCUAACAGAAGAUCCGCUGAUACUGGACAGGAUCAUCGUCUCCUGCAUCUCCGAAACCCCCCUCCACACCGUGGCGGCGCUCGGACACCUCCGAUUCGUCAAGCUACUGCUGAGCCGGACGCCGGAGUUGGCGGCCGAGCUGGACUCGCGGGGGUGCUCGCCGCUACACCUCGCGGCGGCAAGGGGCACGCGGAUGUUGUGACGGAGCUCCUGCGCGAGGGCGGCAAAUCCGGAUCUGUUCGAAACGCGGACGGGAGGAACCCCUGCACGUGGCGGCGGUCAAGGGGAGGGCGGCGGUGCUGGCGGAAUGAUUUGGGGGUUGUUCAGAGCCAAAUACUGCUACACUAGGAG